CCUACGGGAGGCAGCAGUGGGGAAUAUUGGGCAAUGGGCGCAAGCCUGACCCAGCAACGCCGCGUGAAGGAAGAAGGCUUUCGGGUUGUAAACUUCUUUUAAGAGGGAAGAGCAGAAGACGGUACCUGAGGAAUAAGCCACGGCUAACUACGUGCCAGCAGCCGCGGUAAUACGUAGGUGGCAAGCGUUAUCCGGAUUUACUGGGUGUAAAGGGCGUGUAGGCGGGACUGCAAGUCAGAUGUGAAAACCAUGGGCUCAACCUAUGGCCUGCAUUUGAAACUGUAGUUCUUGAGUACUGGAGAGGCAGACGGAAUUCCUAGUGUAGCGGUGAAAUGCGUAGAUAUUAGGAGGAACACCAGUGGCGAAGGCGGUCUGCUGGACAGCAACUGACGCUGAGGCGCGAAAGCGUGGGGAGCAAACAGGAUUAGAUACCCUUGUAGUC
Molecule: ribosomal RNA, 442 nt
Filed under: uncultured bacterium
Lineage: Bacteria
Description: partial 16S ribosomal RNA
Rfam family: Bacterial small subunit ribosomal RNA
Source: RNAcentral